AAACAUGUCAAUGCGGGAAACCGCGAACAGGGAGUCCAAGUGCUUGCACUUUGUGUAAGCUGUUCGGUGUCU
Molecule: ribosomal RNA, 72 nt
Filed under: uncultured archaeon
Lineage: Archaea
Description: partial 16S ribosomal RNA
Source: RNAcentral